This 95-nucleotide non-coding RNA is filed under the name Ctenophora environmental sample. Lineage: Eukaryota; Metazoa; Ctenophora. The record is from RNAcentral.
CUUCCAGCUCCCCAAGCAGCCCGUGCCCUGAACACCUCUCUGUCCUCAAAGUCUCUCAAUGCCAAGAAGGCCAAGAAGGCCAAGAAGGCCAAGAA